Long non-coding RNA from Drosophila mojavensis, 731 nucleotides. RefSeq lists it as uncharacterized. The transcript has 2 exons. Lineage: Eukaryota; Metazoa; Arthropoda; Insecta; Diptera; Drosophilidae. The record is from RefSeq and is a predicted model, not a curated record.
UGACUUUGCUGUCUUAACAGUUAAUUUGUAAAUUUCCUCGUAAAUAGUGCAGCUCACUUUGCCUUAGACUCCUUUAGAUUUUCAGCUAAAUGAUAUAUAUCUACAAAUUGCAUUAGCAGCAAUUUAAUUGCGCAAACUGUUUGCGCAAUAAAUAAAAGCUGAUUGCAUAAACCAAGAAAAUUCAGGGAGCUCAAGCACAAAGGCUUGAGUGUUGAGGAUUAAAUGAAAUGAAUACAAUCCUAAAUACCAUAUAUGUAUAUACAGAUAUGUGCAUGUAGAUUGGGGCAGUUCAAGGCCAACUGUAAUCAAGCAAUCAAUCAAAAUGCAGUCCAGCCAAGGUUUGCCUUUAACCCUUUAUGCAAUAGCCACCGACUCGCCACAAUCCUGCCUCCUGCGCCGCGAACAAUGCAUAAUUACUGAUAAUGAUUUGUGCAUUGUUAACGUUGCGGUCUAUUGUUCUGGUCUGGCUUGGGCUGGCAGCACUACGAAGGGCCCCGCAAGGGAAUGCGAAUGAGCAUGAGAAUUGGGCCUGCCUGGCCAAGUCCUGCCCAAUGGAUCGCCUCGUCAGCGGAGCUUAGUUAUGAGAUGCGACUCAAUGGGUUCUCCACGCAGGCCAUACAAGAUGUUGUCUUCUUUUUGUUGAUUUCUUUUUCUUAGCUGCUUUCAGCAGGCGUCGACGAUAAAAUAAUAAAAAUUGAUUUGAGCGAUGGCGAUAAAAUUUUACAACAGAA